Molecule: ribosomal RNA, 254 nt
Filed under: uncultured bacterium
Lineage: Bacteria
Description: partial 16S ribosomal RNA
Rfam family: Bacterial small subunit ribosomal RNA
Source: RNAcentral
UACGAAGGGGGCUAGCGUUGUUCGGAAUCACUGGGCGUAAAGCGCACGCAGGCGGAUCGUUAAGUCGGGGGUGAAAUCCCGAGGCUCAACCUCGGAACUGCCUUCGAUACCGGCGAUCUUUGAGUCCGGGAGAGGUGAGUGGAACUCCGAGUGUAGAGGUGAAAUUCGUAGAUAUUCGGAAGAACACCAGUGGCGAAGGCGGCUCACUGGCCCGGUACUGACGCUCAGGUGCGAAAGCGUGGGGAGCAAACAGG